This 267-nucleotide unclassified non-coding RNA is filed under the name uncultured Ascomycota. Its description in RNAcentral is "sequence contains ITS2". The record is from RNAcentral. Lineage: Eukaryota; Fungi; Ascomycota.
AACGCACAUUGCGCCCCUUGGUUAUUCCGAAGGGCAUGCCUGUUCGAGCGUCAUUAUCACCCCUCAAGCCCUGGCUUGGUGUUGGAUUUUAGUUAUAGCUUUGCCUAUCAACUGGUCUCAAAGAUAGUGACGGCGCCCCAGAGGGAACCGGGUACAAGGAGCUUUUUACUAAGCAUGUAUCUGGGACGACUCUGAUGGGCGACGGUCUUGUUAUACAUUUACCUAAGUGUUGACCUCGGAUCAGGUAGGAAUACCCGCUGAACUUAA